Molecule: ribosomal RNA, 517 nt
Filed under: uncultured Staphylococcus sp.
Lineage: Bacteria; Bacillati; Bacillota; Bacilli; Caryophanales; Staphylococcaceae
Description: partial 16S ribosomal RNA
Source: RNAcentral
CACGUAGUUAGCCGUGGCUUUCUGAUUAGGUACCGUCAAGAUGUGCACAGUUACUUACACAUUUGUUCUUCCCUAAUAACAGAGUUUUACGAGCCGAAACCCUUCAUCACUCACGCGGCGUCGCUCCGUCAGGCUUUCGCCCAUUGCGGAAGAUUCCCUACUGCUGCCUCCCGUAGGAGUCUGGACCGUGUCUCAGUUCCAGUGUGGCCGAUCACCCUCUCAGGUCGGCUACGUAUCGUCGCCUUGGUAAGCCGUUACCUUACCAACUAGCUAAUACGGCGCGGGUCCAUCUAUAAGUGAUAGCAAAACCAUCUUUCACUUUAGAACCAUGCGGUUCUAAAUGUUAUCCGGUAUUAGCUCCGGUUUCCCGAAGUUAUCCCAGUCUUAUAGGUAGGUUACCCACGUGUUACUCACCCGUCCGCCGCUAACUUCAAAGGAGCAAGCUCCUUAUCUGUUCGCUCGACUUGCAUGUAUUAGGCACGCCGCCAGCGUUCAUCCUGAGCCAGGAUCAAACUCU